CUCCUGGAAACGGGUGGUAAUGCCGGAUGUUCCAGUUGAUCGCAUGGUCUUCUGGGAAAGCUUUCGCGGUAUGGGAUGGGGUCGCGUCCUAUCAGCUUGACGGCGGGGUAACGGCCCACCGUGGCUUCGACGGGUAGCCGGCUUGAGAGGGCGACCGGCCACAUUGGGACUGAGAUACGGCCCAGACUCCUACGGGAGGCAGCAGUGGGGAAUAUUGCACAAUGGGCGCAAGCCUGAUGCAGCGACGCCGCGUGAGGGAUGGAGGCCUUCGGGUUGUAAACCUCUUUUAUCGGGGAGCAAGCGUGAGUGAGUUUACCCGUUGAAUAAGCACCGGCUAACUACGUGCCAGCAGCCGCGGUAAUACGUAGGGUGCAAGCGUUAUCCGGAAUUAUUGGGCGUAAAGGGCUCGUAGGCGGUUCGUCGCGUCCGGUGUGAAAGUCCAUCGCUUAACGGUGGGUCCGCGCCGGGUACGGGCGGGCUUGAGUGCGGUAGGGGAGACUGGAAUUCCCGGUGUAACGGUGGAAUGUGUAGAUAUCGGGAAGAACACC
This 548-nucleotide ribosomal RNA is filed under the name uncultured Bifidobacterium sp. RNAcentral describes it as "bacterial SSU rRNA". It matches the Rfam family "Bacterial small subunit ribosomal RNA", at positions 147 to 710 of the family's 1533-position model. The record is from RNAcentral. Lineage: Bacteria; Bacillati; Actinomycetota; Actinomycetes; Bifidobacteriales; Bifidobacteriaceae.